This 305-nucleotide ribosomal RNA is filed under the name uncultured bacterium. RNAcentral's name for it is "bacterial SSU rRNA". It matches the Rfam family "Bacterial small subunit ribosomal RNA", at positions 333 to 654 of the family's 1533-position model. The record is from RNAcentral.
UCGGUCCUACGGGGCGCAGCAGUGGGGAAUAUUGCACAAUGGGGGAAACCCUGAUGCAGCAACGCCGCGUGAGUGAAGAAGUAUUUCGGUAUGUAAAGCUCUAUCAGCAGGGAAGAAGAAAGACGGUACCUGACUAAGAAGCCCCGGCUAACUACGUGCCAGCAGCCGCGGUAAUACGUAGGGGGCAAGCGUUAUCCGGAUUUACUGGGUGUAAAGGGAGAGUAGACGGCUGUGCAAGUCUGAAGUGAAAGCCCGUGGCUCAACCGAGGAAGUGCUUUGGAAACUGUAUAGCUUGAGUAUUGGAG